GCCAGCCAAGCUUGGAGACGCUAAGGAAGCAGAGGCUGGCCAAGCUGCAGGCGAAGCACAGGGAUCCUGGCGAUGCAGCACAGGAAGCAAAGCACAAGGGAAACAGAAAUGAGAAACAGUAUCUUGGCCCAAGUUCUCGAUCAGUCAGCCUGGGGCCAGGUUAAGUACUUCAGCACUUGUAAAGCCCCCAAAAAACUAAAACAGUAGAAAAUUACCUUGUACAGAUGGCAAGAUAUAGACAACUCAACGGGAAGAUAUUAGAACAAGGCUUAACAGAAAUCCUUGAAAAAGUGAUUCAACAAACAAAAAAGAAAACAACAGUUAAAUUCAACAUAAGAAAAGUAAUGGACUCUAAUGAAGAUGACAAUGACUAAACUAAAAAUAUUUAGAGACUG
Molecule: long non-coding RNA, 395 nt
Filed under: Marmota monax (woodchuck)
Lineage: Eukaryota; Metazoa; Chordata; Mammalia; Rodentia; Sciuridae
Source: RNAcentral